RNAcentral lists this ribosomal RNA (1052 nucleotides) under uncultured crenarchaeote. RNAcentral's name for it is "partial 16S ribosomal RNA". It matches the Rfam family "Archaeal small subunit ribosomal RNA", at positions 304 to 1362 of the family's 1478-position model. Lineage: Archaea; Thermoproteati; Thermoproteota. The record is from RNAcentral.
CGCGGGAUUACGGGGGGACGGGGCGCAGCAGGCGCGAAACCUCCUCAAUGCACUAACGUGCGAAGGGGUUACCUCGAGUGCCACCUGAAGAAGGUGGCUUUUCCUUGGUCUAAAAAGCCUCGGGAAUAAGAGGGGGGCAAGACUGGUGUCAGCCGCCGCGGUAACACCAGCCCCUCGAGUGGUGGGGAUGAUUAUUUGGCCUAAAGCGUCCGUAGCCGGCCGGGAAAGUCUCCCGUUAAAUCCAACGUCUCAAGCGUUGGACUGCGGGAGAUACUGCCUGGCUAGAGAGUGGGAGAGGUCAGCGGUAUUCUGGGGGUAGGGGCGAAAUCCUUUGAUCCCCGGAGGACCACCAGUGGCGAAGGCUGCUGACUACAACACGUCUGACGGUCAGGGACGAAAGCUGGGGUAGCAAACCGGAUUAUAUACCCGGGUAGUCCCAGCCGUAAACGAUGCAUGCUAGGUGUUGGGUUGGCCACGAGCCACCCCAGUGCCGCAGGGAAGCCGUUAAGCAUGCCGCCUGGGAAGUACGAUCGCAAGAUUGAAACUUAAAGGAAUUGGCGGGGGAGCACCACCAGGCGUGAAGCCUGCGGUUUAAUUGGAGUCAACGCCGGGAACCUUACCGGAAGCGACAGCAGAGUGAAGGCCAGAUUGAAGAUCUUGCCAGACGAGCUGAGAGGAGGUGCAUGGCCGUCGCCAGUUCGUGCCGUGAGGUGUUCUCUUAAGUGAGAUAACGAACGAGACCCGCGCCGCAUGUUGCCAUCAGAAUCUAAAGGAUUGCUGGGCACUCUUGUGGGACCGCAGCCGAUAAGGCUGAGGAAGGGGCGGGCAACGGCAGGUCAGUAUGCCCCGAAUCUUCCGGGCCACACGCGGGCUGCAAUGGUAUGGACAGAGGGCUGCCACCCCGAGAGGGGGAGCCAAUCCCUAAACCAUACCUCAGUUGGGAUUGAGGGCUGCAACCCGCCCUCAUGAACAUGGAAUGCCUAGUAACUGCCAGUCAUCAUCUGGCGGUGAAUACGUCCCUGCUCCUUGCACGAAUUCGCCGAAUCACUAGU